UGUAAGCGUAUACCAAAGUUGUUGCAGUUAAAACGCUCGUAGUCGGAAUUUGGCAGUUCCGGAUGUGUGCACGUCGUGUGCGCACUUCGCGGGGAUUGCUUUUGUGGUCUUGCGUAGGAUGAGGCACUUUUAUUAGUGAACGUCCUCACGCAACCACUUUUUACUGUGAGAAAAUCAGAGUGCUCAAAGCAGGCAUUUGCCGUGAAUGUAUUAGCAUGGAAUAAUAGAAUAGGACUUGGUUCUAUUUUGUUGGUUUGUUGGGACUGAGUAAUGAUUAAGAGGGACAGUUGGGGGCAUUUGUAUUUCGGUGCUAGAGGUGAAAUUCUUAGAUUACCGAAAGACUAACUGCUGCGAAAGCGUCUGCCAAGGAUGUUUUCAUUGA
This 382-nucleotide ribosomal RNA is filed under the name uncultured eukaryote. Its description in RNAcentral is "partial 18S ribosomal RNA". It matches the Rfam family "Eukaryotic small subunit ribosomal RNA", at positions 592 to 976 of the family's 1831-position model. The record is from RNAcentral.